RNAcentral lists this non-coding RNA (445 nucleotides) under Perkinsus marinus ATCC 50983. Its description in RNAcentral is "Eukaryotic large subunit ribosomal RNA". It matches the Rfam family "Eukaryotic large subunit ribosomal RNA", at positions 1 to 445 of the family's 3401-position model. Lineage: Eukaryota; Perkinsozoa; Perkinsida; Perkinsidae. The record is from Rfam by way of RNAcentral.
AAGGCCUGAUGUGUGUGAGAUUACCCGCUGAAUUUAAGCAUAUAAGUAAGCGGAGGAAAAGAAACUAACUAGGAUUCCCUUAGUAAUGGCGAAUGAACAGGGAUCAGCUCAGUGCCAAAUCGGAAUCACUUGUGGUUCUGAAAUGUGGCUUGAAGGCAGUACCAGUGGCAUCGCGGACGAAAGUCUCUUGGAAAAGAGCGUCAUAGAGGGUGAGAAUCCCGUGAGUCGUUCGCCGUUUGUCACGUACGGUCUGCGUUCUAACGAGUCGCGUUCCUUGGGAUUGGAGCGUAAACGGGUGGUAAAAUUCAUCCAAAGCAAAAUAUAUACUCGAGACCGAUAGCACAAAAGUACCGUGAGGGGAAAGGUGAAAAGACCUUUGAGAAGGGGGUAAAUAGUGCCUGAAAUCGUUGAGAGGAAGCGGAUGCCGCGUUGCAUAUGCUGAUUG